AAACUGGAAAUAUCCAUAACUUCUCACGAUGGUAUCUUACAUUACAGUCUUGGCAACCCUCGUGGUUAUGUUCAGUGUUUGCAGUAUAGGCAAUGCGUUCUUCUUCUGCACCUUUAAGACUUGUCCAUACGUACCGUGUUGCACAAUGACGUGCCUGUUCUCAGGACGUGGACCGUAUGCAUACUGUAACAGUACUAAUGCGUGCAUUUGUGGACAACCACCAACUACUACCUAGUGAAAUAUUUCAUCUGUGCUGUUUGUAACCUUAGUAUAGUAUAUUGCAGUUGAAGAAUUAAUAAACUUUGAAGUAGUAUAUUAA
Molecule: long non-coding RNA, 319 nt
Organism: Photinus pyralis (common eastern firefly)
Lineage: Eukaryota; Metazoa; Arthropoda; Insecta; Coleoptera; Lampyridae
Exons: 2
Source: RefSeq, a predicted model, not a curated record